RNAcentral lists this ribosomal RNA (450 nucleotides) under uncultured bacterium. RNAcentral's name for it is "bacterial SSU rRNA". It matches the Rfam family "Bacterial small subunit ribosomal RNA", at positions 354 to 796 of the family's 1533-position model. The record is from RNAcentral.
GUGGGGAAUUUUGGACAAUGGGGGCAACCCUGAUCCAGCAAUGCCGCGUGUGCGAAGAAGGCCUUCGGGUUGUAAAGCACUUUUGGCGGGAGCGAAACGGUUUGGGCUAAUACCCUGAGCUAAUGACGGUACCCGCAGAAUAAGCACCGGCUAACUACGUGCCAGCAGCCGCGGUAAUACGUAGGGUGCAAGCGUUAAUCGGAAUUACUGGGCGUAAAGCGAGCGCAGGCGGUUAUGUAAGACAGAUGUGAAAUCCCCGGGCUUAACCUGGGAACUGCAUUUGUGACUGCAUAGCUAGAGUGUGUCAGAGGGGGGUGGAAUUCCACGUGUAGCAGUGAAAUGCGUAGAGAUGUGGAGGAACACCGAUGGCGAAGGCAGCCCCCUGGGAUAACACUGACGCUCAUGCUCGAAAGCGUGGGGAGCAAACAGGAUUAGAAACCCUAGUAGUCC